GAUGAAUAACGUAGCGAAAUGCGAUAAGUAGUGUGAAUUGCAGAAGUACCGUGAAUCAUCGAAUCUUUGAACGCAAAUUGCACUCUCUGGUAUUCCGGGGAGUAUGCCUGUUUGAGGGUCGCUUAACAAACCAUCGAUUUCGUUGCUUUUUUUUUAAAGUGAUGUUUAUCGGAUUUGAGCCGUCUUUUUUUUUAUAUUUAAGUGGCUUAAAAUUGAUUUUUUUGGUACGAUCGAAGCGUAUUUUUAUGAUCAAUUUUUGGUUAAAGAAACGCACAUGUACCGUUAUUUAUAUGAUGUAAUACAUUUGACUAUUGGAUUUAGUUCAUUCGUAUACGAUAUCUUUCAAUAUUUGACCUCAAAUCAGGUAAGAACACCCGCUGAACUUAAGCAUAUCAAUAAGCGGAGGA
Molecule: unclassified non-coding RNA, 407 nt
Filed under: soil metagenome
Description: partial contains 5.8S ribosomal RNA, internal transcribed spacer 2, and large subunit ribosomal RNA
Rfam family: 5.8S ribosomal RNA (bases 1-121)
Source: RNAcentral